UUUCCAGGAGGGAGAAGAGAGACUGUGAGCUAGAGGGAAGAGAUAUAGAGUACUGAGUUAGAUCUGUGAGUGACGUUGAGAGAUUUAUUUCUUUUUCUUUUCUCUUUUUUAAUAUUAUUUUUGUUACCAUUGGAAGAAGAGAGAGAGAGAGUUUUUUUUUAAUUUUAUUUAUUUUCAGAUUUUUUUUAAUAAUAAUAUUAAUUAAAUUCUAAUUUUGAUCGGAUAAACUAGGAUAAGUGUGGAUUGCUUAACAUAGACCAUUGAUUAAUUUGAACCGAUGGCUUGGAUUGAAUCAAAGAAACACACCAAGAAACACACACUAUUUAAAUAAAUCAAAAUGCAUAUAAUGCCCUUUUUUAGAUGAUUUAAUCGAUUUAAAACAAUUUACAUCAAUUGAAUCAAAUAAAAUUCACAACUUUUUACAUAAUCAUGAUAAAAUUAAAAUAAUAACAUGGAAAAUUCUAU
Molecule: long non-coding RNA, 465 nt
Filed under: Lathyrus oleraceus (garden pea)
Lineage: Eukaryota; Viridiplantae; Streptophyta; Magnoliopsida; Fabales; Fabaceae
Description: Pisum sativum (pea) long non-coding RNA (PSAT_LNC028602)
Source: RNAcentral